AUAAUGCCAUAAUCUUUGAGCAUCUUUCCUCUUUGAUGUCACUUGACAUACCUAAUUUUCCUUAGAAAUACCAAGUAAAAACAUGCAUGAAGGUAGUAUCCCCUUUGGUUUGAUAUUGUGAAAAGAUAGAAGAGGAUUUUUUGUGAAGAAAAGCUUGAUAAUUUCCCUAAAGUAUGAUUGGGAAUUUAUUAUAGAAUACAAAAU
This 204-nucleotide unclassified non-coding RNA is filed under the name Hevea brasiliensis (rubber tree). The record is from RNAcentral. Lineage: Eukaryota; Viridiplantae; Streptophyta; Magnoliopsida; Malpighiales; Euphorbiaceae.